RNAcentral lists this ribosomal RNA (492 nucleotides) under uncultured bacterium. RNAcentral's name for it is "partial 16S ribosomal RNA". It matches the Rfam family "Bacterial small subunit ribosomal RNA", at positions 29 to 507 of the family's 1533-position model. The record is from RNAcentral.
AGUGAACGCUGGCGGUAGGCCUAACACAUGCAAGUCGAACGGCAGCACAGUAAGAGCUUGCUCUUACGGGUGGCGAGUGGCGGACGGGUGAGGAAUACAUCGGAAUCUACUUUUUCGUGGGGGAUAACGUAGGGAAACUUACGCUAAUACCGCAUACGACCUACGGGUGAAAGCAGGGGAUCUUCGGUCCUUGCGCAAUUGAAUGAGCCGAUGUCGGAUUAGCUAGUUGGCGGGGUAAAGGCCCACCAAGGCGACGAUCCGUAGCUGGUCUGAGAGGAUGAUCAGCCACACUGGAACUGAGACACGGUCCAGACUCCUACGGGAGGCAGCAGUGGGGAAUAUUGGACAAUGGGCGCAAGCCUGAUCCAGCCAUACCGCGUGGGUGAAGAAGGCCUUCGGGUUGUAAAGCCCUUUUGUUGGGAAAGAAAAGCAGCAGGUUAAUACCCCGCUGUUCUGACGGUACCCAAAGAAUAAGCACCGGCUAACUUCGUG